Molecule: long non-coding RNA, 457 nt
Filed under: Hordeum vulgare
Lineage: Eukaryota; Viridiplantae; Streptophyta; Magnoliopsida; Poales; Poaceae
Description: long non-coding RNA (HVUL_LNC019186)
Source: RNAcentral
UUCACGGAACGGCCAUGGCGGAAGCGCCGAUCCUCUUACCUGUGGUCGUCGACAGAGAGAGAGGGAGAUGGGGAAGAAGUGGUGGCGGAGGAGGAGGAACCCUAGCUUUGGCACGGACGCCAAGGGGGAUUAAAUAGGGGAAAGGAGGAGGAGAGGGAUGCGGCAUGGCCAUGUGCACGAGGGGAGCUCCAGUGGUAAGCAGAGGGGAACAAAGAUGAGUCGCUGACAGGGGGCCCCAGGUGCCCCGCUAGAAAGGGGAAGAAGAGGAACGCGCCGCGGGCUCCUGACACGAGAGAGAGGAGGAAGUGGGCCGACCUAUGGGAGGAAGCCCAUAGGGUGGCGCACAAUAGAAGGAAAGAAAACCCUGGGGUUUUCCAUUUACAGAAAAGACAGAGAAGAAAAGAAUGCACAGAGAAAACUAUAAGUGCUAAAAAUAAAAUUAGCACAUCCGUGGACA